UUAACUUGUUAAUCNNNNNNAUUGCUCUCCCAAAAAAAUAUACUGGAAACAUCCGGAUGUAGGUUAUAAUUAAGAAUGAAAGCAAAACAGCCUUCCCUAAAAGAACUGAAAUUCUUAAUUCAAACAUAUAGCAUGGUUGAUAAUGAAAGUAAAAAUGCUGAUAUAUAUUGAAAUUGAGAAGUUUAGAGAUUUUUAUUACUGACCAUCUGG
This is an unclassified non-coding RNA of Cavia aperea (Brazilian guinea pig), 210 nucleotides long. The record is from Ensembl. Lineage: Eukaryota; Metazoa; Chordata; Mammalia; Rodentia; Caviidae.